This 74-nucleotide transfer RNA is filed under the name Marmota monax (woodchuck). RNAcentral describes it as "tRNA.Gly". The record is from RNAcentral. Lineage: Eukaryota; Metazoa; Chordata; Mammalia; Rodentia; Sciuridae.
GCCAGGGGUGUAGCUCAGUGGUAGGGUGCUUGCCUACCAUGCACAAGGCCUUGGGUCUGAUUCCCAGCAUGGCA